GAUGAAGAACGGAGCGAAAUGCGAUAAGUAGUGUGAAUUGCAGAAUUCAGUGAAUCAUCGAAUCUUUGAACGCACAUUGCGCCCCUUGGUAUUCCAUGGGGCAUGCCUGUUCGAGCGUCAUUUGUACCUUCAAGCCUUGCUUGGUGUUGGGUGUUUGUCUCGCCUCUGCGCGCAGACUCGCCUCAAAACAAUUGGCAGCCGGCGUAUUGAUUUCGGAGCGCAGUACAUCUCGCGCUUUGCACUCAGAACGACGACGUCCAAAAGUACAUUUUUACACUCUUGACCUCGGAUCAGGUAGGGAUACCCGCUGAACUUAAGCAUAUCAAUAAGCGGAGGA
RNAcentral lists this unclassified non-coding RNA (337 nucleotides) under soil metagenome. RNAcentral describes it as "partial contains 5.8S ribosomal RNA, internal transcribed spacer 2, and large subunit ribosomal RNA". The stretch from base 1 to 120 matches the Rfam family "5.8S ribosomal RNA", at positions 35 to 154 of the family's 154-position model. The record is from RNAcentral.